GUCGAACCCCAACAGCAGCUGGCCGCACCUCCGACAACAACCUUGCGUGAACGGCGGCAACGUCUAGCGAACCGAAACGCCAACCAAAAUCGACCCUCGUUCGUGGUCGAGCGGAAAUCGACGAACGACGACGACCACCGGAGAUAGCGGCGACGGACGGGGGGGCAACGACGGUGAUGUGGUGGCCAGUAGAAAAAAAUUGAAGGAUGGAGAAGGCGACGAAGAAGUGUGGAGGG
This 236-nucleotide unclassified non-coding RNA is filed under the name Hevea brasiliensis (rubber tree). Lineage: Eukaryota; Viridiplantae; Streptophyta; Magnoliopsida; Malpighiales; Euphorbiaceae. The record is from RNAcentral.